GUAGGUGAACCUGCGGAAGGAUCAUUAAAAAGGAUACCGGGCAACCGGUAGACCCCACCCGUGUCUAUCUACUCUUGUUGCUUUGGCAGGCCGUGGCCUCCACCGUGGGCUCUGCCUGCGUGUGCCUGCCAGAGGACCAAACUCUGAAUUUUAGUGAUGUCUGAGUACUAUAUAAUAGUUAAAACUUUCAACAACGGAUCUCUUGGUUCUGGCAUCGAUGAAGAACGCAGCAUCUGACUGACUGUGACCU
Molecule: unclassified non-coding RNA, 250 nt
Filed under: plant metagenome
Description: partial contains small subunit ribosomal RNA, internal transcribed spacer 1, and 5.8S ribosomal RNA
Rfam family: 5.8S ribosomal RNA (bases 183-250)
Source: RNAcentral